Molecule: ribosomal RNA, 839 nt
Filed under: Stagonospora tauntonensis
Lineage: Eukaryota; Fungi; Ascomycota; Dothideomycetes; Pleosporales; Massarinaceae
Description: Stagonospora sp. TVS-2020a partial large subunit ribosomal RNA
Rfam family: Eukaryotic large subunit ribosomal RNA
Source: RNAcentral
GGGAUUGCCCUAGUAACGGCGAGUGAAGCGGCAAUAGCUCAAAUUUGAAAUCUGGCUCCUUUUAGGGGUCCGAGUUGUAAUUUGCAGAGGGUGCUUUGGCGUUGGUAGCGGUCUAAGUUCCUUGGAACAGGACAUCGCAGAGGGUGAGAAUCCCGUUUGUGGUCGCAUGCCUUCGCCGUGUAAAGCCCCUUCGACGAGUCGAGUUGUUUGGGAAUGCAGCUCUAAAUGGGAGGUAAAUUUCUUCUAAAGCUAAAUACUGGCCAGAGACCGAUAGCGCACAAGUAGAGUGAUCGAAAGAUGAAAAGCACUUUGGAAAGAGAGUCAAACAGCACGUGAAAUUGUUGAAAGGGAAGCGCUUGCAGUCAGACUUGCCCGUAGUUGCUCACCUAGGCUUUUGCCUGGGGCAUUCUUCUGCGGGCAGGCCAGCAUCAGUUUGGGCGGUCGGAUAAAGGUCUCUGUCAUGUAGCUUCCUUCGGGAAGAACUUAUAGGGGAGACGAAAUGCGACCAGCCUGGACUGAGGUCCGCGCUUCGGCUAGGAUGCUGGCGUAAUGGCUGUAAGCGGCCCGUCUUGAAACACGGACCAAGGAGUCUAACAUCUAUGCGAGUGUUUGGGUGUCAAGCCCGAGCGCGUAAUGAAAGUGAACGGAGGUGGGAACCCUUUGGGUGCACCAUCGACCGAUCCUGAUGUCUUCGGAUGGAUUUGAGUAAGAGCAUAGCUGUUGGGACCCGAAAGAUGGUGAACUAUGCUUGAAUAGGGUGAAGCCAGAGGAAACUCUGGUGGAGGCUCGCAGCGGUUCUGACGUGCAAAUCGAUCGUCAAAUUUGGGCAUAGGGGCGAA